GACGAACGCUGGCGGCGUGCCUAAUACAUGCAAGUUGAGCGCUGAAGGUUGGUACUUGUACCAACUGGAUGAGCAGCGAACGGGUGAGUAACGCGUGGGGAAUCUGCCUUUGAGCGGGGGACAACAUUUGGAAACGAAUGCUAAUACCGCAUAAAAACUUUAAACACAAGUUUUAAGUUUGAAAGAUGCAAUUGCAUCACUCAAAGAUGAUCCCGCGUUGUAUUAGCUAGUUGGUGAGGUAAAGGCUCACCAAGGCGAUGAUACAUAGCCGACCUGAGAGGGUGAUCGGCCACAUUGGGACUGAGACACGGCCCAAACUCCUACGGGAGGCAGCAGUAGGGAAUCUUCGGCAAUGGGCGAAAGUCUGACCGAGCAACGCCGCGUGAGUGAAGAAGGUUUUCGGAUCGUAAAACUCUGUUGGUAGGGAAGAACGUUGGUGGAAGUGAAAAUCCCCUCAAGGGAGGGAAACAACCCGAAAAGGAACGGCAAACAACUG
Molecule: ribosomal RNA, 496 nt
Filed under: uncultured bacterium
Lineage: Bacteria
Description: partial 16S ribosomal RNA
Rfam family: Bacterial small subunit ribosomal RNA
Source: RNAcentral